RNAcentral lists this ribosomal RNA (506 nucleotides) under uncultured bacterium. RNAcentral describes it as "partial 16S ribosomal RNA". It matches the Rfam family "Bacterial small subunit ribosomal RNA", at positions 29 to 523 of the family's 1533-position model. The record is from RNAcentral.
AGUGAACGCUGGCGGUAGGCCUAACACAUGCAAGUCGAACGGCAGCACAGGAGAGCUUGCUCUCUGGGUGGCGAGUGGCGGACGGGUGAGGAAUACAUCGGAAUCUACUCUGUCGUGGGGGAUAACGUAGGGAAACUUACGCUAAUACCGCAUACGACCUACGGGUGAAAGCAGGGGAUCGUCGGACCUUGCGCGAUUGAAUGAGCCGAUGUCGGAUUAGCUAGUUGGCGGGGUAAAGGCCCACCAAGGCGACGAUCCGUAGCUGGUCUGGGAGGAUGAUCAGCCACACUGGAACUGAGACACGGUCCAGACCCCUACGGGAGGCAGCAGUGGGGAAUAUUGGACAAUGGGCGCAAGCCUGAUCCAGCCAUACCGCGUGGGUGAAGAAGGCCUUCGGGUUGUAAAGCCCUUUUGUUGGGAAAGAAAUCCAGCUGGCUAAUACCCGGUUGGGAUGACGGUACCCAAAGAAUAAGCACCGGCUAACUUCGUGCCAGCCGCCGCCGUAA